CCUACGGGAGGCAGCAGUGAGGAAUAUUGGUCAAUGGGCGCGAGCCUGAACCAGCCAAGUAGCGUGAAGGAUGACUGCCCUACGGGUUGUAAACCUCUUUUAUAAAGGAAUAAAGUGAGGCACGUGUGCCUUUUUGUAUGUACUUUAUGAAUAAGGAUCGGCUAAAUCCGUGCCAGCAGCCGCGGUAAUACGGAGGAUCCGAGCGUUAUCCGGAUUUAUUGGGUUUAAAGGGAGCGUAGAUGGGUUGUUAAGUCAGUUGUGAAAGUUUGGGGCUCAACCGUAAAAUUGCAAUUGAUACUGGCAGUCUCGAGUACAGUUGAGGUAGGCGGAAUUCGGGGUGUAGCGGGGAAAUGCUUAGAUAUCACGAAGAACCCCGAUUGCGAGGGCAGCUUACUAAACUGUGACUGACAUUGAUGCUCGAAGGUGUGGGUAUCAAACAGGAUUAGAUACCCUGUAGUC
This 459-nucleotide ribosomal RNA is filed under the name uncultured bacterium. Its description in RNAcentral is "partial 16S ribosomal RNA". It matches the Rfam family "Bacterial small subunit ribosomal RNA", at positions 338 to 795 of the family's 1533-position model. The record is from RNAcentral.